AAAGAAGUUUCACAGCAACACAUCUGAUUUGAAAGGACUAAGAAAAUACAGAAAAAAAAAAGAUAAAGUAGUCUAUAUCUGAAUAAGGAAGACUGAUCCAGUGAUGUCACAAAAACUAAGCAAAGGGGAGGAGAGUGAAUUAGGGCAUCUCUAGGUGUAAAUCACCAACACUGGAAGAGGAAGUUCUCAUUCCCUUUUUCAGGAAAUGUUAGUUUAUAAUGGUAAACCAAGGUAGCCCUUGCUACCAUCAGCACCUUCAGGCUUGAAGGAAUAUGUAUAUGGAGGCACGUCAGUUAAUUUCUUGCAUAUCAGUUUCAUCAUUGUGACUUCUUGCACGCCAGAUCUGAAAAGUAAUCAGGAACCUGACCCUCCGUGGAGCAUGGGAAAGCCCUUCAAGUCAGAGCACAAUGAAUCAUGAGCGUAAUCUGCAUUGAGUCAACUGUCUCAGAUCAGAGAGCUGCAAGCUGAGUCCUGGCAAAAGCCACAGCCUUAAAUUCCACUUAGUGGAAAAGAAGAAUAAAGAGGACUAAACAUCUUGCCCCAUUUCAGAAACUGCUCUCCAAGCCUGACACUUGAGUUCUGUGCUGAGCAACCAGAGUAACAAACGAUGAGUUUUUCAUGGGUCAAGCCAGCAUCCAAAAAUAUUUCAACAUGUAGCCAAAAGGAGAAAUGAAGCACUUAGGUGAUAGCAGGAUAUGAAUGCAUUUACUGCAACAGAGGAAUGUUACUGUCUAUGGGGAAAGAAGAUCUUUGUCAUCCCUUGUACAUAUUCAAAGCCAUACAGGAACAGGGCAUCAGUGAUGUUAAAUUGCUUAAAAGGAUGCUGUCUCCUGUCCUCCACCCAACUUUGAAGAAGUUCAGCUGUUAGAGAUUGCAUCUCAAUGCACUUCUAGUAUUUGCACUGUCACUUCCAUUCAGGGUAAUGAUGUGUGCCACUGUUUGCACAGACAGCCCCAGGAGAUUUUUGACCACAACAAGCUAUAUUUUGCUGGGGCUCCAAAAGGAAUAUAAAAGUUAGAACUGAAGAAAAACAUUUGUGCGCUCUUUCACUAUGGGGAUCUCUUCACUGAAAGGACUAUGGUCCUUUCUUAAGUUUAAAUAAAUACAUACAUAUACAUACAUAUAUAUAUAUGUAUAUAUAUGAAAAAGCAUCAACGUUAUAAGGUGUGUUUAAAAAGGGGAUAUAAUCUUUUUUAAUACCAUCCAUUUUUUAUCAUAUUAGCAGCCAAGAAAUUUAAUCUAUUGAAGUAUACAUCCAAACCGUUCCUGUUGAACACUGACAUAGUCCCAGUUACUGUUAAAGAAAAGAAGUCAUUUGUAAUAUGUAUUUGACAUAAUUUUUUUCUAGCCAUUUGUCUAUACUUCAUGGAGAAAUCUAACAGAUAAGCAGCAUUCCCAGUUUAUUUUUCUAAAUAAAUGUCUUGUUUAUAUUAUUUGCAGUCACUCAUUUUGGCUGAUUUUCAUAAUCUCCAAAAGUGAUUUAAAGACAGAACCAAAACACAGAAAUCAUUCGUUCAUGUUAAGCUGUAAUGAUUUGCUGACCAAAAGCUUUAAUAUAAAUAUUGUAAUUUGUAAACUGAUGAAGUAUAUUUAUACCGGCAAAUAUGUAUGGUAAACAAGAGGAGGUAUUUUAACUCUUAAUUUCAGAACAUAGUUUAUUUUAAUAUCCACAUGAAGAAAUCUAAAUAUAUAAUGGGAUAGAUUUUUUAUUAUCAGUAAGUUUUAGCAAUUAAAAUUUGGAUGUUUAAAUGAAAGGAUUGUAGUCUAAUAAUAGUAGUUUCCCAAAUUACACAAAAAUCUUUCAUCAACUGUCUCAUUUUAUUCAAAAACUAUUUUUGCUGUUGAUUUUUGUUUUGUUUUGUUUUGUUGUUCUUUUUUGUUUGUUUGUUUGUAUGCUUUUAGUGUACUGAAAAGGCCAUGAAGAUGAUACCAAUUGAUCACAAAAAAAUUGAAAAGUUAUGGGAUAAGAGGUUGUUCCUUAGAACAAUCUACAGUUUACAGUUAAGAACAGUUAUUUUUAUUCAUCUACUGCAGUGAUUUGUUAUCAAGUUAUUGAAAAUUUCAAUGCUAGCACUCUUUUGAAUAAAAAUAUUUUCCUUUUUUCUUAGUCCAUUAGCCUGUGUGUAAUUUUAAGAGAAAAGUAAAACAUGUGAUUCCCCAUUCACUUAAAGCAUUCAUCUUAAAUCCAGUCAUGUGUAUCUGAUUUAUAGUUUUUUAGUUUUGUUGUUGUUGUUGUUGUUGUUGUUGUUGUAGUUGUUUUUUCUUUAAUUCCAUUGCUCUUUGGAACCUAUUAAGUGCUCACUAAGAGAAAAAUGUUCUUUCAAAAACAGCAACAACAAAUGGAAAAUCUGAGCCAUUUUUCACAUGUGGGUUAACCUUGUAAUAGGCAGAUGUUUUAAAAAUGUAUUGCUCUGCUCUAGUGUACUAACAAGUGUAUGCGUGUGUUUGUGUGUGUGUGCACGCAUGCGCAUCCCUACCUGCUGAUGAAUGCCAGCUCUGCUGAAGUAAGUGCCCCAAGUCCUGUUAUUGCAGGAGAUGCUCAUGUUGUAUAUUUUGGAAAAAAACUUGAGUGCUGUCUUUGCAUGUGACUCUGAAGCCAUAAAUAAAUUUACAGUUUUUUUGUGAAAUAAUCAAAUGAAUUAAUUAAGAGAAUAUUAGUCUCCCAUAUUGGCAAAACUCGGGAUCAUCUCAUGGUUUGACUCUCUUUUCAAGGAAAGCUAGAGGGCAAUUUCCACUGGUGCAGUUGAUAAAUGAAACCUUUGUAUCUGCUGAAGAAUGAUGACUGUGUUUUUUUUUUUUUUUCCCACAAAUUUUAUCUUAUGGUUUGCUUAAAGACUUUUAAAUAUGACUUUAUUUCUUUGUCAUUAGAGUCAUAUAUUUGGACACACAGCUUGCAUGGGUUUGGUUAUGUACACUCUUUGGAUAGCCUGUGUUUUAAAACUGGGGAUCUUACUCCUUCAGACUAAUAUUCAGAGUUGUUUAAUGAAGGGACAUUAUCAAAAUAGUAAGAAAAUUUCAGAAUGAUAAUUUGAGCACUUUCAUUAUCAUCUAGUAAUAUUUGGAAAAUCUCUGUUUUUUAUUUAUUUUAUUUUAUUUUAUUUUAUUAUUUUAUUUUAUUUUAUUUUAUUUUAUUUUAUUUUAUUUUAUUUUAUUUUAUUUUAUUUUUUGUGAACAGAAUGCAUUCAUUUAUAUUUGAAAAUAGCCCAAUAAAAGUCUCAUGAAAUAA
Long non-coding RNA from Cygnus atratus (black swan), 3226 nucleotides. RefSeq lists it as uncharacterized. The transcript has 4 exons. NCBI's taxonomy places the organism in Eukaryota, Metazoa, Chordata, Aves, Anseriformes, Anatidae. The record is from RefSeq and is a predicted model, not a curated record.